GAUGAACGCUGGCGGCGUGCCUAAUACAUGCAAGUCGAGCGAACGGACGAGAAGCUUGCUUCUCUGAUGUUAGCGGCGGACGGGUGAGUAACACGUGGAUAACCUACCUAUAAGACUGGGAUAACUUCGGGAAACCGGAGCUAAUACCGGAUAAUAUUUUGAACCGCAUGGUUCAAAAGUGAAAGACGGUCUUGCUGUCACUUAUAGAUGGAUCCGCGCUGCAUUAGCUAGUUGGUAAGGUAACGGCUUACCAAGGCAACGAUGCAUAGCCGACCUGAGAGGGUGGUCGGCCACACUGGAACUGGGACACGGUCCAGACUCCUACGGGAGGCAGCAGUAGGGAAUCUUACGCAAUGGGCGAAAGCCUGACGGAGCAACGCCGCGUGAGUGAUGAAGGUCUUCGGAUCGUAAAACUCUGUUAUUAGGGAAGAACAUAUGUGUAAGUAACUGUGCACAUCUUGACGGUACCUAAUCAGAAAGCCACGGCUAACUACGUG
This 497-nucleotide ribosomal RNA is filed under the name uncultured bacterium. RNAcentral describes it as "partial 16S ribosomal RNA". It matches the Rfam family "Bacterial small subunit ribosomal RNA", at positions 28 to 507 of the family's 1533-position model. The record is from RNAcentral.